Molecule: ribosomal RNA, 460 nt
Filed under: uncultured bacterium
Lineage: Bacteria
Description: partial 16S ribosomal RNA
Rfam family: Bacterial small subunit ribosomal RNA
Source: RNAcentral
CCUACGGGAGGCAGCAGUGGGGAAUAUUGCACAAUGGGCGCGAGCCUGAACCAGCCAAGUAGCGUGAAGGAUGACUGCCCUACGGGUUGUAAACUUCUUUUAUAAGGGAAUAAAGUGCGGGACGUGUCCCGUUUUGUAUGUACCUUAUGAAUAAGGAUCGGCUAACUCCGUGCCAGCAGCCGCGGUAAUACGGAGGAUCCGAGCGUUAUCCGGAUUUAUUGGGUUUAAAGGGUGAGUAGGCGGCCUUUUAAGUCAGCGGUGAAAGUCUGUGGCUCAACCAUAGAAUUGCCGUUGAAACUGGGAGGCUUGAGUAUGUUUGAGGCAGGCGGAAUGCGUGGUGUAGCGGUGAAAUGCUUAGAUAUCACGCAGAACCCCGAUUGCGAAGGCAGCCUGCCAAGCCAUGACUGACGCUGAUGCACAAAAGCGUGGGGAUCAAACAGGAUUAGAUACCCCGGUAGUC